RNAcentral lists this ribosomal RNA (438 nucleotides) under Wolbachia endosymbiont of Spodoptera exigua. Its description in RNAcentral is "bacterial SSU rRNA". It matches the Rfam family "Bacterial small subunit ribosomal RNA", at positions 992 to 1428 of the family's 1533-position model. Lineage: Bacteria; Pseudomonadati; Pseudomonadota; Alphaproteobacteria; Rickettsiales; Anaplasmataceae. The record is from RNAcentral.
CAUACCUAUUCGAAGGGAUAGGGUCGGUUCGGCCGGAUUUUACACAAGUGUUGCAUGGCUGUCGUCAGCUCGUGUCGUGAGAUGUUGGGUUAAGUCCCGCAACGAGCGCAACCCCCAUCCUUAGUUGCUAUCAGGUAAUGCUGAGUACUUUAAGGAAACUGCCAGUGAUAAGCUGGAGGAAGGUGGGGAUGAUGUCAAGUCAUCAUGGCCUUUAUGGAGUGGGCUACACACGUGCUACAAUGGUGUCUACAAUGGGCUGCAAGGUGCGCAAGCCUAAGCUAAUCCCUAAAAGACAUCUCAGUUCGGAUUGUACUCUGCAACUCGAGUACAUGAAGUUGGAAUCGCUAGUAAUCGUGGAUCAGCAUGCCACGGUGAAUACGUUCUCGGGUCUUGUACACACUGCCCGUCACGCCAUGGGAAUUGGUUUCACUCGAAGCU